Non-coding RNA from Amborella trichopoda, 115 nucleotides. The record is from RefSeq and is a predicted model, not a curated record. NCBI's taxonomy places the organism in Eukaryota, Viridiplantae, Streptophyta, Magnoliopsida, Amborellales, Amborellaceae.
GCAGAACUUGGGCAAGCUGCACCCGCUUUGAUUGCAGAGGCAAGUCCUGAAGCACUUGUGCUUGCAGAUGCAGUUUUAAGUUGUGUUGCUUUUCCAAGUGAGGACUGGGAGAUUU